This 191-nucleotide unclassified non-coding RNA is filed under the name uncultured Trechisporales. Its description in RNAcentral is "sequence contains ITS1". The record is from RNAcentral. Lineage: Eukaryota; Fungi; Basidiomycota; Agaricomycetes; Trechisporales.
ACGUGUUCGUUCGGCCGCUCGGGUCGGCCCUGCACCGGCGGAGACGCCGUGCUGCGGGCCCUCGGGCGUGCCUUCCAAACCAAACCCCUGUGAACCUUUGGGAGGGCCGAGCCGUUCGCGGCGAAGUCGUCCCCUUUACAAACUCUGUAUCUCAUAGAAUGACCGCGGACCUCGUCCGCCUAAACACAUAA